AUCCCUAACUCUCUUUACCUGACAAAUCAAAACCUUUUAUCACUGUAUCUCACUUCAGCACAAUAUCUCCCUUUCUCCCUCGAGCCUCCAAUCUCUCCUUCUCUCGCAGGGACCGUGUCGGCGACCGCGAUUCUUCCAUAUUUGGGCCCGCAUCUUAGGCACUGAUUAAUGUCCACGCAACAGUGAUAAAAUACAAGUUCUACUUUCAUCUAAUGGAGUUACGGAGUUGUAUUCAUUUACAUUUUAUCCAGGUUGCUAAAGGUGGGUUGGCAACAAAAGCCCUGAAUGUGUACCGUGGAAGGCCAGCACUAAAGUUCAAGAAGGUUAAAGAUCUAUAUGAAACUGAGGAUGCAAAAAAUUUUAACCCAUUGCCAGUGUUUAUACCAAAAGUUGAGUUUGAAUGUGAUGAGACAGAAAGUCUACAUACACUCACAGUAGAAAGAACAAUACAAGUUGGUGGUGAAACUUCAGAGGCUAAUAGUAAAGGUAUUGAUAUUGGAGCAAGGGAAAUAGAUGAACUUAACUUUGGCAAUAUGACACUG
This 542-nucleotide unclassified non-coding RNA is filed under the name Hevea brasiliensis (rubber tree). The record is from RNAcentral. Lineage: Eukaryota; Viridiplantae; Streptophyta; Magnoliopsida; Malpighiales; Euphorbiaceae.